CUAGGGUUUCCCCCUUUUGUUAUUCCUUCUACAUCUCUAUUUCUCCUACAAAUAAAGUUAGAUCUUGUUCUGUUUGUGUUUCUGUUACAGUUUUCUUGAUAGGAUCUGAUCGGAUCAGAUCGAGAUCCUCAAACCGAUAAUGGAAACGCUUGGGUACGACUUACCUUUGAUGUAUUUUUAUUUUGUUAUCAAUUACUUAUUUUGCAGGUCUUUCAGAGAUAUGAAGUCUGGCGUCUCAGAUCUGCGGUCGAGAAGUGUGAGCUAGUUGUAUGGUAUCACGGAUCUUGAGGUUUUGUUUUGCAGGUAUGACGGAGAAUCGUGUCUAGAACGCGGAUCUAUGAAUGAAUCGAGGUGCUUCCACUUUGUGGAUUGAUAUGUUAUCUCAACCGUAGAUCUGUCGUGAUUGUUCGGUAAUUCGCUGCGAUCAACCGGCUACAUAUGUUGCAGAUCUCAGAUGUUGUAAUUAUAGUUUAUGGUGUGAAGCUGCGAGGAGGAAAUUAUGUGAAUGUAAGAUUUUGGGAUGAAGUGGCUCAAGGUUCUUGUCCUGAGCGAUCUUGUCAUCCGACCUUUGCCAUGUCAGGUGCGCUUGCAUGGCAGGUCAAACACAAUCUUAAUAAAAAAAAGUUUUAUUGUUUUGGGGGUAGAUCGCACGGGAGUUUCCCGGGAUCUCCCCGUCGUGUGUUAUGGGGGAGAUCGCACGGGAGUUGCCCGGGAUCUCUCCCUCGUGUGGUGUGUCCUCUGCUCCUUGCUCUUUUUCGUUAUGCCCUUCACUAAACCCUAAUUGUCGCUCGACUCCAUAAUACAACUCUGGACGGGAUGGAUACAUCAUCAGACUCGCUUCGCCUCCAAUCAAUUAAGGUAUUACCUAUUAAUUUACAUUUUGAAGGGUUGCCGUUAUCAAUUCUAUAAUCGGUAUGAGGCGUUAUAAAUGACAAAACCAACAAACUGCUCUCAUAAUUGUUUAUGGCUAUUAGGCAUCAUCUAAUUUUCAAGUUAUGUCUAAUUGAAUGAUAUGGUAAUUUCUAAGAUUUGGUAAUUUGUUAUUGGCAGAAAAUGCUUAGGGGAGUUUCUUCCAUAAUUUCCAUCUGAAAGGUAAUAGGGUUCCAAGUAAAAUUCUGAAUUAUAUUAUCCCUUAAUAAUUAUCUAAUGAAAAAUAACAGGGUGUUCGGUAAAUUUAUUUUACAAAUUAUGCUUCUUGGGCAAGCUAAUCGUGACCAAGCUCUUUUAAAAUAUUUAAAAGUUUAUUUUCUGCGACAUUCUUAUUUACGGUGUAGCUGCAAUGGUUAUGUUCAUUUGGGCAAGUAAAAGAACUUAUAACGGUGUCAUCUUUUUCGUUGUACGUUCGUGUUAAACUAGUCUUUUAUUUCCAUUAAAGAUGGAGUCCACUUUGUACAUGUACAUAUGUAAAAAUUCAAAUUCCGCCCCGACUUUCAACAGCUGUAAAGCAGCCAUAUAGUUUUGAAAGCAUGUAUUGCCAGGUGAAGAUCAUAAGCCUGUAUAUUAUCGGUUUUGCUGCUGGAGAUAAGCUUGUAUAUUAUCAAUUUUUUUGUGGACGCAAUAUGGCUUGGGAGCUCUUGGGGAUAUUCUUCAUCAAAAUCUUAUUCCACAUCUACUGUUACGGUGAAGAUAUCUUCGUGAAAUUGUAUUGGUAGCUCGAGGACAAAAAAUAUCACGGUCGGAACUAUUGACGCUUUUACUUUAUUUCACAAUUUUCAUGUUCAAGUAUAGCAGCGAAUUAUUUUGUAAUACUGAGGUAUUCUGUAAAAUAAUAUCACGGUCGGAACUAUUGAGCUAUACUGAGGUAUUCAAGUAUAGUGUUCAGAGAUGUUCCGUGUAAUUGUGGUAGAAAUGGAAGCUGUACUUGUGAGGUUAAAAUUUCAGAUACGUGGAUGUCUUUGUUUAAGAUUAUUUUCGUUUUUUGACUGCAUGCUUUUUACUGUUCUAA
This is a long non-coding RNA of Gastrolobium bilobum, 1945 nucleotides long. RefSeq lists it as uncharacterized. Lineage: Eukaryota; Viridiplantae; Streptophyta; Magnoliopsida; Fabales; Fabaceae. The transcript has 2 exons. The record is from RefSeq and is a predicted model, not a curated record.